AAAAGUCUUACCUUUACAAACUUUGCAACAGCUAUGAGACAAGGUAAUCUGAUGAGACUCUGGACAGUCCAAAGUGGGACAGCCUAAACUCUCCACCAGCUUCAUGGUCUGCUCCUUACACUCAUACAGAACAUA
Molecule: non-coding RNA, 135 nt
Organism: Vicugna pacos (alpaca)
Lineage: Eukaryota; Metazoa; Chordata; Mammalia; Artiodactyla; Camelidae
Source: RefSeq, a predicted model, not a curated record